This is a long non-coding RNA of Sinocyclocheilus rhinocerous, 383 nucleotides long. RefSeq lists it as uncharacterized. The record is from RefSeq and is a predicted model, not a curated record. NCBI's taxonomy places the organism in Eukaryota, Metazoa, Chordata, Actinopteri, Cypriniformes, Cyprinidae. The transcript has 3 exons.
AAACGCUCUCUUUUUGUUUCUCAGGCCGGAUUCCUGACAGUCUGAGGAACUGUGUCAAUAAGGAGUUUUUUGUGUCAUCAGGUUCCUGGGGCCUGAUGGAGCAGCAGGUUCAUCCUGAGCUCAACGGCGCCACCUACAGCCAAGUCAACCAAUCCCUGCAGGCCAUCACGACUGGCUCCGCCCCCCAAGACAGAAUCAAUGCCUAAAGCGAGAGCAGGUUCCCGUCAGGUCUGGCAGCGGGUUUGGAGGGUCUGGUUCCGGUGACCGCGAUAAACCACCCUUCCCAGACGCCGUCCCCAAACCAGCCCUCCAAACACGGAGAGAGCAGAGAGCAGCUGAGCGAGCAAUAGCAUCAGCAUCAGCAUCACACACCCGACUCCUUC